Myodes glareolus (Bank vole) is the source of this 1420-nucleotide non-coding RNA. NCBI's taxonomy places the organism in Eukaryota, Metazoa, Chordata, Mammalia, Rodentia, Cricetidae. The record is from RefSeq and is a predicted model, not a curated record.
UUGCUUGACUAUUGGGCAAAGGGCCCGCCGACUUUGAAAGCGGUAUUGAGACUGUCAGUUGAUUGGCCGCUCGUAGGCUUCAUGGGAAAUGAGACAGUGGCAAGAAGGAAUAGGUGGCGCCCUCUGGCGGAAAGAAAAGCUAGGUCCUCCCGAGUACAGCCCUGCCAAAUGCAGCCACGUGUCUGCGCGGCUGGCUAGGGCCAGAUGUGGAGCCAUAUUGGCCACUAAUAGCUCAGACUGAGAGCUUGUGCGUUCUUUGGGCCAAUCGAAAUCGACCUGGGGCGUACCUGAACCAAUUACCAGGUUGCAGGGGAAAGCGGUAUUUCUCGCCCUUGCAGUUUACAAGAGGCGUAAGUCACUAUGGUGUGUUUGCUUGUUCUGAAAUAAUUACAAGCAUUAAUUACAACGGGAAGGUAUUCCAGUUUGUCUACUCAACAGCAGGCGGCAUGUUAUAUAAUUUACUGCAUUAAAGUAAGUAAAUUAGAGAAGGGAAGCCUCUGCUAUUUACCAUUUUAGGAUUUCUCCUUCACUCUCAAAAUAAAGCUGUCUAAAUCAGCACGGCCUGAUGCCAGAAGUAAUUAUAAGUAUGCUAUAUGUUUAACUUUAAAAAAAAAAUCGGACCCAGGGAUUGCAAUAGCAUAGUGAAAAUGACCACUGUCAUUACUGAAUUCAAAUUAAUAAUAAAUUUUACACAGACCUAAUAUAUGUGCUAUGCCCUAUUCUAAAUACGGGCCAUGCAUUGUUUCCUUUAGACUUUGAAAUCCACUGACAGGUAAGUACAAAUACUCAUAAUUUAUAGGUGAGAAUAAGACACAGUUGUUAAAUUACUUGCUCAACAUAUGCAGCUAGUAAGUGAUACGUCUUGGCCUUAAACCGAAGGCAGCGUGACAUCAAAGUCCCACUGUGGUCCAAAGUGAUUCUACCAACUCAAAACCUUGUUCUCUCAUGGCCCUUGUACCAUUAUUCACAAUGCUGAAAAAGGAGAUGGCAUCCCUCAGCUGGUACAUAGCUUUAAAAUAGCCCUAUGAUGUGCUGUAGGAAUUCCUACCAUUCCUACCUCCAGUACCAUUUAAGUUACCCACCCACUUGGGCGUGGCCUCUUAUACUAUUUAUGCCCUUGUAAAGCAGGCAUCCGCCCACUUUUCUGGCUGCAGGAUUUGGUUCCUGUUCCUCGUUCGAGCAGAGGACUGAGAUCUGACAUGGAGUACAUCGACACGGUUGACUGGUUCAAGCAACUGACAAUGGCUGGCGAAUUCAGGAAGUGGCAGGCCCUCGAUAUGACUUCAUAAACCACCUGGGAUCUGAUUACACAUAGGACCCAACAUGGCAGGGAAGGAAGGAAACAUGAAAAGCUGGAACAUGAAGGACCAAAGCAGGAACAUGACGCUGGCCACAUUGCACCUGCAAAUAUCAGAGGACA